GCCCGCCUAGCUCAAUCGGAUAGAGCGUCAGACUUUUACGGCAUGUCGGCUGGGCAAUCUGAAGGCUGCGAGUUCGACCCUCGCGGUGGGCU
Non-coding RNA from Dendrothele bispora CBS 962.96, 92 nucleotides. Lineage: Eukaryota; Fungi; Basidiomycota; Agaricomycetes; Agaricales. The record is from the annotation of a GenBank genome assembly.